GAACAGUCCUGCGACAACAGCGAUUAGCAUGAAGAUGAGCUGACAAGCAAUAACAGUACCGAGCAGCGGAAAAAAGGAGAGCCUGACGGAGUUGACGGCGGAUAAGAGCUUGACGGGGCGGCCGUAGAAGCCGUGGAAGACGGAGUAGGUGAUGGAGCCGAGAGCGGAGAGGGAGAAGACGAAGACGAAGAGGGCCAAGGCGAGGGCGAGGAGGAGGGUUGGUGAGGAGGGGAGGAGGGGCAGAAUCGGAAGAGGUGAAGAAUUUUUGGGAGGUUAUGAGUGGAUGAUCGGAGAUGAGGAGGUUGUGGAGAGUGGGGUAGACGGUGGAUGAGAAGGAGAUGGGGAGGAGGAAGACGACGGAGAGGGCGAGGAAGUGGCGGGAGUGGGCGUUGAUGAUGCGUCUGGUUUCGGUGAGGACUGCCCGCAAGUUUAGGGAGGGAGGAGAUGGAGUUUCCAUGGCGGGAGGAAAAAACGUCGUCGUUUUUGGGUGCAGGUGAACUGGUGAAGGAAGCGACGGAGGAGGAAGAUGAAGAAGAUGGUGGAGUUGGAGUUUUGUGGAUUGAGUGUGAAAAUGGGUUUUGGUUGUUGAGCUGAAAUUGAAUGGGUCGGGUCGGGUCAUAGUCAUCGGUCCCCGAGUCUGCCGGGUCAACCCAAUGUUUUGAAUGUUAUAUUUUCUUUUCUUCCUUCACAAACAAAAAUACCAGACGCGACUCUUUUAAAUGAAAAAUUAUUAAGAGUGUUUCUAAAUCUACCCAAUAAAUUUCUAAAUAGACCUAACACUUCAAUUUUUGUCACUUACUUUUCUAUUUACACCCAGCAAAUCUUAAAAAAAAAUCACCCAGCACCUCUUGAUGUCUCUUUCUCUUCUAUUACCAGAAUUUUGUUUCAUGAACAAUACAAUGAUUAUCUGGAGCAAACAAUUCAUUAAGGAAUAAUCAACUUGAGCUUAAAUUCGCAAAGAGAAUAAAAGGAAGAAACAAUGUGAAAGAUGUAAACUAGAGUGCUUGAAUUUCGCAACCCAGUAUCGACUACAAUCUUAUUUUGAAGCCUUACAAAAUCUGGGUCCAUCCCAUUGCAACAAAAUUUUCAAAUGCUUUGUUGAGGAACCCUUAUUUCAUAUAUCAGAACCAUUAAGGCUAUGGGGUUCUGAGAAAAAACCCCAAUUUUUUGCGAUUGAUAUCUUCUACUAUUGCUAUGCAAGAGCCAACGCAUCUUGGUUUGAUUAUUGUAAUUGCCUUUAGAAUUCUCUAUGAAAGGACCCAAUAAAUCCAAUGUAUGUAAUGGAGCCACAAACCCAUUAAUUGCAUAACCUAAAAGAGAGCAAUUUGCUGCUUGAUAACGGAAUAGAGAGAGAAAGUUUGUUGUUGGGUGUGUAUAUAAGGGCAGAAUUGGAAUUAAAUGACAAUUUUUCAGUUGUUGGGUCAAUUUAGAAGUUUGCUGGGUACAUUUAGCAUCACCCAUCAUUAACCGAUUUAUUAGAUUUUUUUUUUUUUUAGAUUAAUGAAAAACUUCAUUAAGAGCCGAGCUCAAAAGAGCCUAGCAAUUGCUAAGUCCAUAUCGUUACAUUAAAAAAAAAAAAUUCCCCUAAAUCAGAAACAAGAUAGACAUGAACAAAUCUCCUCAAAAGGAAAAACGCCGUCCCAUUACUCAGUUUGAUCCACCAGCAUCAGAGGACAUGGGAGACCGUCGUUUCUAAGUACAACAAUCAUGGACCGUGGUGGCUGGUGAGCCCAUCUUUUCAUACCCACAGUCUAGGAGGCAAGUGCGGUGCCACAGUGGGCGCGCCAUUUGCUUCACGCGGAGCCGAGCUCCAGAUGCAAUCGGAGAAACCUGAACACAGGUUUCAGAUUUGACUUAUGAUUGGGUAAUCGCUUUACUAGAUAGACGCAUGAAACCUACUAUGAUUUCUGAUUUAUCUUGUACUCUUCCUAUAAAAAGAGGCUCAUAUCGAUGUGUAUAUCAUACAAUCAACAACACAAGACCUAUUAUACUAUACUUUAUUUCCAAUUCUUUACGAGACUUGAAUUUUUGUAGCAGCACCAAGAAACGUUCUAAAGUAUUUUGAAGUGAUUUUUGUAGAAUUGAAGCAUCGUUUGAAAUACUUUGAAUCAUACGAUAAAUAUCGAGAAAUUCUAAAAAAAUCGAUCAUCAUAAUGAUUUAUGUUGCAACUAAGUGCGAAUUGAAGGCCAGAGUAAGAUCUUUUGAUAAUAGUAAAUUGCAGAUACACUAAUUGUCACAUCCCGGGACCCGCUCCGCCGUAACACGAUAUUGUUCGUUUUGGGCCCACCGGCCCUCACGGUUUUGUUUCCGGCAGCUCAGGAGCAGUUUCCCAGUAGGUCACCCAUCCUGGGAUUGCUCUAGCAUCAACAUGCUUAACCUCGGAGUACCCAUCCCCUCCGAAGCCGCUGAGCCACCAAAAGGCCUCGUGUUAGAUUGGAGGUGGGUAUGUACAUAUACAGCACAUAACCCCUCUCCGUUUGGCCGAGGUGGGAUAUUACACUAAUGCAGAUGGUUUAUACAGAAGAGUUGUUAAUCUCCGUAUGGAACUACGAAUAAACACUGGCCAGAGCGUUCAACUUCAAGAUUUGCAGACAAUAAAAACAUCCAUUUCCCACCAUUAUGAACCCAGAUCAUAUUGAACUGAAAAACUUAACCACAGAUAUCAUACAUUUCAAACCACAACACAUCCUAUUUACAAGUAUCAUAUCCUUCGCAUUAUUCACUGUUAUGAUUACACCAAACACUAACAAGUAAAACGACUGCAAAACCAUUCACAGAGUGCAACUAACCUCAUCCUCAUCCAACAUAACCAACCGAAACAACAUGAGGAACCUUCCCAUCAUCAAAAGGCAGGCUCACAUACUCGCUUGCAAACUCCUCCGCAAUCUCCAACGCAAUCUCUCCAUUCACAGCCUUGCAAUACAUAUACAGCACCGUAUUCGCCGCAGCAUGAUACAACAACACAAGCAUAACAACCGUCGAACACGACACAACCAUCACCACAUUCCUCGACCCGUCCCGACCCCUCCACUCAUACGAAACAGAGCUGCAUAACCCCAAAACCCCACUACAAACCCCGAAAAACACCAUCAGCGACAGCCCCACCCCUCGCAUUCCCCUCAUCAAAUCCGCACUCCUCCUCAACGCGCCGAACCCCCAAUGUGGCUCGACCACAGAAACUACCCCAGCCAGAGUCCAAUUCACUUGCAGAUACAGCAAAACAAGUAGCAAUACAAUCGCAACCACGAUGAACAGCCCAACGAAAUACGGCGAGGAUAGCUCCAUUUCCAAUCCAAUCAUCUCGAAAACUCCGAUCACCAAGAACAAGAACAGUCCUGCGACAAGAGCGGUUAGCAAGAAGAUGAGCUGACAAGCAAUAACAGUACCGAGCAGCCGAAAAAAGGAGAGCCUGACGGAGUUGACAGCGGAUAAGAACUUGACGGGGCGGCCGUAGAAGCCGUGGAAGACGGAGUAGGUGAUGGAGCCGAGACCGAAGAGGGAGAAGACGAAGACUAAGAGGGCCAAGGCGAGGGCGAGGAGGAGGAGGUGAGGAGGGGCAGAAUCGGAAGAGGUGAAGAAUUCUUGGGAGUUUAUGAGUGGGUGAUCGGAGAUGAGGAGGUUGUGGAGAGUUGGG
Molecule: long non-coding RNA, 3635 nt
Filed under: Fragaria vesca (wild strawberry)
Lineage: Eukaryota; Viridiplantae; Streptophyta; Magnoliopsida; Rosales; Rosaceae
Description: long non-coding RNA (FVES_LNC002027)
Source: RNAcentral